Molecule: long non-coding RNA, 1759 nt
Organism: Daphnia carinata
Lineage: Eukaryota; Metazoa; Arthropoda; Branchiopoda; Diplostraca; Daphniidae
Exons: 5
Source: RefSeq, a predicted model, not a curated record
AGACGAACAUCUGAAUCCGAUUUUGAAGAAGUCUUGCAUCGAUGGACACUGACAAAAUAUAGGAAGCUGCACAUGAAUGUUGGGUAUUUUAUCAUAAGUAGAAUACAGAUAGAUUCUGUAGUAGUAGAUCUCUUUAGUUGGGUAUUGAAAUUGGCUUUGGUUUGUAUGGGGUCUGAUGAGGUCUCAGUUGCAUUUGAUCCUACUUGUUAUUUAUCACUGCCAAUGCCAGUCGAAAAGGAAGUACCAGUUGACCUGUAUCUGGCUAACGUGGACCUUUUAGCAGAAAUUUUUCUGCUUUCAAGGGAUUCAAAGAGUUUGCAGAAUAUUAUGUCUCUAGGAUUCCACAGUUUUAGGUAAUUCAAUUGACAAGAAAUUUACACUGAUUUUUGUUUUAUUUUUCUAAAGGCAGAUUCUUAAUUAUAAAGGAUUGGGAAAGAAAAUUGACGGAGGCUCAGUGCCAAAAAAAUUAUGGUAGUUGGAAUGAUUACCGAAGCUCUUCGGAUUCGUUUAUUUCACUCGUUAUGGUAUUUAAAGAAAAUAAACGUGUACCUGUGCCCCUUUGUAUCUGUGACCCGAUUUCCUCUUCACUUGCGAUAAUUCUGCAGCGGGUCAUGCAGAUACUGUGAUCAGCAGAAAAAGUUGGAAGUGCGCUGCCCGGAAAGCAAAUCUGGGGUAAAAGAAAAAAACUUAUUCCAACUAGUAAGCCAUUCCCAAAUUCAACCAACAAAAAGGAAAAGGUGGAAGGAAAAACUUCGUUCUCUGGUAGUGUUUUAGUUAAAAUCCUUUUUGUGCAAAUUCAUUUUUGAAAUUGUUUACCUCAUUUUCGAAUGGUUCCGUUCACAUUUGUUGUUCAUGUGAGAUUUUAUGUUUACCAGUUACUGCAUUAUAUUGACCACUAUUGCAAGAUGUUUGUUUAGGAAUAACUACUGUUUUGUUUAUCUGGAAUGUUGUGUGGGAGUCCAUCAGGAAUUGCUGGUCUGCAGUAAAUUUGUCAGGCUAGGUGAUGAAGAUCAAUGAAUCAGAAAAUGUUUUGCAUGGGUGGUGAAUGUUCUGACAGUUUUAACAGUUGUGAUGUGGUGUAUUUCACUUCCACGCAUCAUGGUGUUUUUAUCUAUCAGUUGAAUUGUAUGGUUAAUUUUCUGUUCGUGUAACCUCAUUUCCUCUUGAAUCAUAUAGUAGAAAUUGGUGACCUGAAACAAUGAACAUGGAAAAAUCACCUGUGCCAACGUUGACGAUGUUUGAUUGAUGAAGUGCUGGAAACUAAAAUUAAUUUUCUUUACAAUUUGGUUUCAGGCUAUCUUUAUAAUUUUUUAUUAGUUUUGCGUUUGUUUAGAGUCCGCAAGCUCGUAGCUGAUUUCCUCCUUUAGAUACCGCCUGUCGACGGUUUGACAGCCUCACACAAUUGAACGUAUGCCAAAAAGCCAAAGUGAGCUCUUCCGAUCAGAAAAGUGACGGCGUAUCCAUUUAAUUGAAAAUAGGCACAAGAUAACGCACAAUUGGCGUUCUUGCCUCAAUGGAGAAAUUUUUCCGUGGAACUUAUGACCGAAAUACCAUUGCAGCUGUUCAAAAAAAAAAGAAAAGUGUAUUAUCAUGCAGAUGUUGACUAGCUAACAAUCCAGAGAUACGUCAACUUGCGAAAUUUCUAGAUGUGUGUGAAGCGCAAUCAGCAUCCUUGUUGAACUGUGAACCCAAAUCAUGUAUUUUCCUAGAAAUAUCUAGGUUUUUGGAUAAAUAAAUAAAAGUCAGUGAAAAAAUGUGA